GUCGAUUCAUGUGUCAAACCCAGCUCUUGGAAAAAUCAUUUCAACUAUAACAUUUUAUUGCCAACUUUAAUUAGUAAUGGUAAUAUAUUACAACUCAGUAGUAGACAAAGCAAUACACUUUUACAAUUUGGAAUGUCAUGACACAACUCCCCUGUAAAAGUAAACGAAUACCCCGAAGUAUGAUUCUCUUCGGAAUCUGUCAUGUCUGCUUUUGUAUAACCUUCCAAAAUUGAAUUCACACACCAAACCACAACUCCACACUUGGAGUUAAUCCCAACGAAGUCUUGACUCAACUCAAACGUCUUGGAAUUUUCAACUUUCUUCAUGCUCAACUUUAUCGCAUUAGAAUGGUCCUUCUCGAUGGAAGGAUCCAACUCAAACUUGACAAUUUUUUUCUUUCCAAAUUCUUUCACAACUACUUCAUACCCUGGCUUUAAACUAUCUCUUUCUUUCUUCAGUUUUAGUAUCUAUCUAAAGAGAAGAGCUUUCUUCUAGUGGUUCUCAUGCAAGGCUUUUCUCUCAUCUCGCAUGGCUUUGUACCACAU
Molecule: long non-coding RNA, 545 nt
Filed under: Panax ginseng (ginseng)
Lineage: Eukaryota; Viridiplantae; Streptophyta; Magnoliopsida; Apiales; Araliaceae
Description: long non-coding RNA (PGIN_LNC002511)
Source: RNAcentral